This 193-nucleotide ribosomal RNA is filed under the name uncultured Staphylococcus sp. RNAcentral's name for it is "partial 16S ribosomal RNA". It matches the Rfam family "Bacterial small subunit ribosomal RNA", at positions 147 to 334 of the family's 1533-position model. Lineage: Bacteria; Bacillati; Bacillota; Bacilli; Caryophanales; Staphylococcaceae. The record is from RNAcentral.
CUUCGGGAAACCGGAGCUAAUACCGGAUAAUAUAUUGAACCGCAUGGUUCAAUAGUGAAGGACGGUUUUGCUGUCACUUAUAGAUGGAUCCGCGCCGCAUUAGCUAGUUGGUAAGGUAACGGCUUACCAAGGCAACGAUGCGUAGCCGACCUGAGAGGGUGAUCGGCCACACUGGAACUGAGACACGGUCCAG